AACGCACCUUGCGCUCCUUGGUUAUUCCGAGGAGCAUGCCUGUUUGAGUGUCAUUAAAUUCUCAACUUCCAACGGUUUCUUUGCAGAUCGUCUUUGGAGGGUUGGAUGUGAGGGUUUGCCGGUUUCUCUGAGUCGGCUCCCUUUAAAAAUCUCAGUGUUGUCUCUUGCUGACGCAACGCCCCCUCGGUGUGAUAAUCUAUCUAUGCCGUGUGUUGGGAGGUCAGACAUUUUGUGAGCAGUGCUUCUAACCGUCUGGUUUUUCCGGACAAGUUAUUCAUGACUUUGACCUCAAAUCAGGUAGGACUACCCGCUGAACUUAA
This 320-nucleotide ribosomal RNA is filed under the name uncultured fungus. RNAcentral's name for it is "eukaryotic LSU rRNA". The record is from RNAcentral. Lineage: Eukaryota; Fungi.